This 403-nucleotide ribosomal RNA is filed under the name Verrucomicrobiota bacterium. RNAcentral's name for it is "Verrucomicrobia bacterium partial 16S ribosomal RNA". It matches the Rfam family "Bacterial small subunit ribosomal RNA", at positions 355 to 776 of the family's 1533-position model. Lineage: Bacteria; Pseudomonadati; Verrucomicrobiota. The record is from RNAcentral.
UGGGGAAUAUUGCACAAUGGGGGAAACCCUGAUGCAGCGACGCCGCGUGAGCGAAGAAGGCUUUCGAGUCGUAAAGUUCUGUCCUAUGAGAAGAUAAUGACGGUAUCAUAGGAGGAAGCCCUGGCUAAAUACGUGCCAGCAGCCGCGGUAAUACGUAUGGGGCGAGCGUUGUCCGGAAUUAUUGGGCGUAAAGGGUACGUAGGCGGUUUUUUAAGUCAGGUGUCAAAGCGUGGAGCUUAACUCCAUUACGCACUUGAAACUGAAAGACUUGAGUGAAGGCGAGGAAAGUGGAAUUCCUAGUGUAGCGGUGGAAUGCGUAGAUAUUAAGAAGAACACCGGUGGCGAAGGCGACUUUCUGAACUUGUACUGACGCUGGGGCACGAAAGCGUGGGGGGCAAACAGG